This 527-nucleotide ribosomal RNA is filed under the name Vibrio sp. OT246. RNAcentral describes it as "bacterial SSU rRNA". It matches the Rfam family "Bacterial small subunit ribosomal RNA", at positions 43 to 549 of the family's 1533-position model. Lineage: Bacteria; Pseudomonadati; Pseudomonadota; Gammaproteobacteria; Vibrionales; Vibrionaceae. The record is from RNAcentral.
CAGGCCUAACACAUGCAAGUCGAGCGGAAACGAGUUAUCUGAACCUUCGGGGAACGAUAACGGCGUCGAGCGGCGGACGGGUGAGUAAUGCCUAGGAAAUUGCCCUGAUGUGGGGGAUAACCAUUGGAAACGAUGGCUAAUACCGCAUAAUGCCUACGGGCCAAAGAGGGGGACCUUCGGGCCUCUCGCGUCAGGAUAUGCCUAGGUGGGAUUAGCUAGUUGGUGAGGUAAUGGCUCACCAAGGCGACGAUCCCUAGCUGGUCUGAGAGGAUGAUCAGCCACACUGGAACUGAGACACGGUCCAGACUCCUACGGGAGGCAGCAGUGGGGAAUAUUGCACAAUGGGCGCAAGCCUGAUGCAGCCAUGCCGCGUGUGUGAAGAAGGCCUUCGGGUUGUAAAGCACUUUCAGUCGUGAGGAAGGUGGUAGUGUUAAUAGCACCAUCAUUUGACGUUAGCGACAGAAGAAGCACCGGCUAACUCCGUGCCAGCAGCCGCGGUAAUACGGAGGGUGCGAGCGUUAAUCGGA